AUACUCACCUGGACGGGGUAAUGGGUGAUCAACAAGGCCCAUGAACUAGGUUAGCAAUCUCGAUCCAUUGCACUCAGGAGGAGUGCUUGCCUAAGGUCUACCCAAGUGGUGGAGCCUACGUCAUAUAUAAUUUUUAGAAGAGGGGGGUCUAUGUUUGCGUGGCCCUCAC
Rhododendron vialii is the source of this 169-nucleotide small nuclear RNA. RefSeq annotates it as U1 spliceosomal RNA. Lineage: Eukaryota; Viridiplantae; Streptophyta; Magnoliopsida; Ericales; Ericaceae. The record is from RefSeq and is a predicted model, not a curated record. The transcript has a single exon.